UAGAAUGGUCUUAAUUAAACGUACAAUUAAAUGAAAAUAUUCUACAAAUAAAUGUCCUUCUCUAACUUCUACAGAUUUGUAUUAAAUAUAUUUUAUCAUCGUGUAAGAAUACAUCUCAUUGCAAACACACUGGAAGAAGUAAUCGGAAUAUUUAUUUCCUGAAGAGUGAGUCGGAUAUCCUCUUCGUUUUUUUUAACAAUUUUAGGAUCCAAAAUUAACGAUAGAGAGUGAUAUAUAAAAAACAGACAAAACAAUUUCAACAUUCUUACAGAAAUUCUUAAUAUUUUUAAUUAUUUUCAAUUACAUUUUUAAUAUUCAUGUAAAAUAUUUUCCAGUGUAAGGUACUCAUAUAGAUUAAUUGUAUAGAACAAUU
Molecule: long non-coding RNA, 373 nt
Organism: Apis dorsata (giant honeybee)
Lineage: Eukaryota; Metazoa; Arthropoda; Insecta; Hymenoptera; Apidae
Exons: 3
Source: RefSeq, a predicted model, not a curated record